GCAAGUCGAACGCGAAAGUCCCGCAAGGGAUCAGUAGAGUGGCAAACGGGUGAGUAACACGUGGGUGACCUGCCUUCGAGUGGGGGAUAACGUCCCGAAAGGGACGCUAAUACCGCAUAACAUCCCGCCUUUUAACAGGUGGACAUCAAAGCUGGGGAUCGCAAGACCUAGCGCUUGAAGAGGGGCCCGCGCCUGAUUAGCUAGUUGGUGGGGUAAUGGCUCACCAAGGCAACGAUCAGUAUCCGGCCUGAGAGGGCGGACGGACACACUGGGACUGAGACACGGCCCAGACUCCUACGGGAGGCAGCAGUGGGGAAUUGUUCGCAAUGGGCGCAAGCCUGACGACGCAACGCCGCGUGGAGGAUGAAGACCUUCGGGUCGUAAACUCCUUUCGAUCGAGACGAAUGGCCUCCGGGUGAACAAUCCGGAGGAAUGACGGUACCGAGAGAAGAAGCCCCGGCUAACUCCGUGCCAGCAGCCGCGGUAAUACGGGGGGGGCAAGCGUUGUUCGGAAUUACUGGGCGUAAAGGGCUCGUAGGUGGCCAACUAAGUCAGACGUGAAAUCCCUCGGCUUAACCGGGGAACUGCGUCUGAUACUGGAUGGCUUGAGUUUGGGAGAGGGACGCGGAAUUCCAGGUGUAGCGGUGAAAUGCGUAGAUAUCUGGAGGAACACCGGUGGCGAAGGCGGCGUCCUGGACCAACACUGACACUGAGGAGCGAAAGCCAGGGGAGCAAACGGGAUUAGAUACCCCGGUAGUCCUGGCCCUAAACGAUGAAUGCUUGGUGUGGCGGGUAUCGAUCCCUGCC
Molecule: ribosomal RNA, 807 nt
Filed under: uncultured Pseudomonadota bacterium
Lineage: Bacteria; Pseudomonadati; Pseudomonadota
Description: bacterial SSU rRNA
Rfam family: Bacterial small subunit ribosomal RNA
Source: RNAcentral